GGAGGGACCCUGCGUGUAGACCCCGGCCGUGCUCCUUCUCACCGGGUGACCGCAGAGGGCGGGGUUCUCGGCACUGCUGACCUUUGGGGCUGGGUGGUUCUCUGUCACGGGGAGGGGGCUGUUCUGGGCCUCAGAGGAUGUUUCUGGCAACAUCCCUGGCCGCCCCCACCCACCAGAUGCCAUUAGCAGCAGCCCCAGUUGUGGUGAUCACUGAUGUCUUCCGAAAUGGGCCCGUGUCCCCUGGGGGCGGGGGCACGAUUUCCCCCCGUUGGGAAUCACCGGUAAACAGCAAGCCUCUCAGACCCUCUGAGCCUCAGUUUCUUCCCAGAGGCCCUGCUUCUGCAGCGCAGUGAGAGCGUGGCUGCUGCCCACGAGGGCUCAGGGACCAGCAAGGACUCGCCCAGGGGCAUUCAGCCAGCGCCCGGCUGAGCUGGGGGGUGCGAGCCGUGUCCUGCUUCUUGGAAUGCUCAAGGGCUUCUGCUCUGCCUCCGUCAGCCGGGGGAGCUUUCCGCCCCUCCGUCUCCCCUGCUCUCUCUCAGCACCGCCGCUCUCUUGCCGGGACUUCACCGACUGUCUCCCGCUGGGAUGGGGACCCUGUGAGUCGCCCCUCCUGGCUUCCGCCGUCCUGGCAAAGAAUGAUAGAAUGGCUCCCCUGCACGGUUGCCGAGGCAGAGCCGCCGACUGCCCCACAUCAUCUACUUUCCCCAUCUUCUCCAGGAACGAGGACCCCGAUUUUUAGCUCCUGGCCACAUGGAUGUGUGACUGAGUGCUGGCCAAUGACAUGUAAGUGGAAGUCUUGUGUGUGGCCUUCCAGGAAGUUUCCUCACAGAGAGGAAACAAGUCCUUCCUCGCGCCUUUCUCUUUCUUGAUGGCUGGAAUGAGGACGUGAGGGCUGGAGCACAAGCAGCCACCUUGGUCUGUGAAGUAGAAGCUCUGUGUCGAGGAUGGAGGGGCAACGAAGUCGAAGGGACCUGGGCGCUGGUGACUUCUGGUUUGAUUUCUCCGUUCCACAUGCCACACUGAAUCCUAACCGAUGUUCUAGGCUUCGGGGAGUGGCCAGGACCGAGGAGGAAGCAAAUGUUGUUUCUUUCUGUUCCGGCUGCUCCCACAUCAAUGGGUGGCAUGGGGCCUGGCAGUCAGAAAGAGUUCCCGCCUACACUGUCAAGUCAGGUCCCCCGAGCUCCCAAGGUCAGAGGGGAAUCUGAGGUCCCGGGAAAGAGGCAAAGGGCUGAGGAGCAGAGGCAGGACACAGGAGUGAGAAAUGGGCCGGGCUUCCAGCCUUGAGAUGCCCACUCGAGAGCCAAUGUUUCUUCCUUGUCAUUACCGCUUCUCUGACUUCCACUCAAGUACUCCAUUCAUUCACUCGUGCAUUCAUGCAAUGAAUGCCACGCUAAGCCUGCCGGAGGCCGGGGCCUGGAGCCUGGAUGAUAAGGAUUACAGCUUCUGGAAUCCUGGAGCGAAGCCAGCUAGUCGGGGGAGACAGAACACG
RNAcentral lists this long non-coding RNA (1489 nucleotides) under Felis catus (domestic cat). RNAcentral describes it as "lncRNA (ENSFCAG00000049462.1)". The record is from RNAcentral. Lineage: Eukaryota; Metazoa; Chordata; Mammalia; Carnivora; Felidae.